This is a long non-coding RNA of Passer domesticus (house sparrow), 2679 nucleotides long. RefSeq lists it as uncharacterized. The transcript has 3 exons. The record is from RefSeq and is a predicted model, not a curated record. Lineage: Eukaryota; Metazoa; Chordata; Aves; Passeriformes; Passeridae.
CCGCGCGCGCCCCCUGGCGGCGGGAGGGCGAAUGGCGAUCCCUGGGAACGGCGGGGGCCGGAGGAGGCCUUGUGUGGAUAGACAAGGAGCUCUUGGACAGGCUCAGACACUAAAGGAGGCUGUGGAGGGUGGAAGCAGGAGCUGAAGCCUGGCAGGAAUACAGAGAAGUUGUCCGGGCAGCCAGGGAUAGAGGAGAUAAAGCUCCGAGAGAGUUAGACAUGGCCAGGGACAUCAAGGACAAGAGGAAAAGCUUCUGCAGGAUGUGCUCCAGCCACACUGCCCGAGCUGCAGAAGGGAAAAACAGGGCCUGGGGGACUGAGGAAUCACCUGCUGGAGAAGAUGGGAUUCAAGGCUGUCCAAAGCACCUGGAGGUGCACAAACCCAUGGCACCUGAUGAGAUGUAUCCACACGUCCUAAAGGAACUGGUGUCUCCCUCCCCAGACAGAUUUCUACAGCUUCUUCCACACCACUCAUAGAUGACCUUCCUGUACUUUAGGUGUGCUUCCUUGGAGGGAAGCAAGAGGCUUGGGCACGCUCCCUAUUUUUACCAGCUAUUUUCCCUUGCAAUCCUUCAAAACCCAGCAGGGCUAUUGCCAGAGCUGAACCCUGUGGGGUGUAAGAAAUGUGCCCUGCCUGGGGACAGCCACCCCCCCAGUGCUCACAGCACUGCUGGGCUGCCCCAGCCCCACUGCAGGCUCCCCGUGGCAGAGCUGCAGGCAGCCAGCAGCGUGCCUCACCUUGCACAGCCCUUGCUGUCAGGUAAGGGCUGUGGGAUGCACAAUUUGAAUCUGAACCCCCUUUUUUUGUGCCACCAGAUCCAGUUUCUGACACAGGCAGGCAGCACUGCACGGAGAGAUGGGAAAGAAAAAGAUAAAAGCAGUGUUCAUUGCCCUGUGAUCCCAGCUUCCAGGAGCACUUCUGUAACACACACAAUGGCACUGCUUUCUUCAUUCCCUGUAAGGAGGCUCAGUUUGGGCCAAAGCACUGGUCAGAUUUGGCUGCCAGCUGGUGAAUGCCUGAUCCUGUGGUCAAAUCAACCCUCCUGCCUGCCAGCAGCUCCUUCCAAUUGCUAGGAGCAAGCAUGGAAGGGACUAGGAGGAGGAAAAGGGAAGCACAGAGAUGGCUGGAGGAGCUGUGUCCACCACCCAUGGCAGAGGCCUUGCUGGAACCUCAUGGUACCUGUGAUGGGGUUUCCUGGCCCUGACUGGGCUCCCAUCAGUCAGCCACACACUGAUCCCAAUCCUACACCAGGAUUCCAGUCACAAGCUCCUACCAGGCAUGGCUCUGGAGAACUUUAGUUCAAGGCAGCUUCAGGUCUAGCCAAGGAGACCUUUUGGUUUACCAGACACCCAGGCUGUCAGCAGAGCAGGCAAGCAGCUUGAGAUGUGGAAAAGGCAGUUUUGUGGCACAAACCCCAAAUCCUGCAACAGGACAAUUCCUCAAAAAAGCAGGAAUUCCUCACUUCUUACCUUUGAGGCUGGAGAGCAGCAUGGGAAGAGCAAAGCUGUUCUGAUUCUACCAACAGACUGGAAACAAGCCUGCCCUAGCACAACGCUCCCUUCUUCCCACAUGCUCUCUCCUCAUUAUCUUUAGCCCUUCCAGCUGCAUCCCUGCGUGCAUGCUCGUACCAAAAAUGCCCAAGCAGAGUAAAAACCAACAGCCCUCAGCCUCUGGUGCCUAUAAUUCAGCAGUGGCUUGAGGAACCUGGCCCCAGCUGCUACAGGACCCCCCCAGGAGGAAGCACGUUCAUAGCACGUCAGCUGCAGGGCACUUUGCUAAAUGUGAGUGACUUUCUGCAUGUCCAAGUGAGGAACAGCCCACAGGGGACAGGAUGGAAAUUGCCCUUGGGGAUUUCACAAGGGCGCUGUGAAGCACACACAACUUCUCAGCUUUUCUGAGAGUUCAGCAGCGAGGCUUGUGCCACCACCUCUUCCCCCACAGGAUGAGCAGAGGCUCAGGACAAGGAACAGCCACGAUGGGGCUGGCAGAGGCAGUGAGCUCGAGGCCCACAGGCAGAAAAAUAAACCUGCUGAAUAAAUCAGUGUUGCAAUCAACAGAGAUGGAACAGCAGGAAAUGGAGGGACAAAACCACAAAAGGUGUAAUUUAGAAAGACUUAGCUGAAAUCUACAUGUCCACUGCCCAAAGGCCAGAAGGGUAUUGAUGCCAACCCAAACUGAGUGGAGCUCCAGCAACCUCUGUUCAUACAUUCAGAGACGCCCAGCUUCUGUGUUUGGCACAACCAUUUAAUAGCAGAAUUGAAAACUCAGUAUGUUCCAUUUUAAUCUUAUGUGGAAAAUCAGUGCAGGUGAUAAUCUAAUUGUACAACAACAUGUUAAAAAAAUUUAUUUUACAUUAUGUACAUUAGGGAACAUAUUUCAAAGCAUUACCCAUCACAACAAUAACGCAGGCCAUAAAUCACUUUUAAUUUAGUUUGGUUUUAGUGUAUAUUAUCACAAUAAAAUAUAAAGAACAUAUACAAAAAAAGGAGUCAAAUGUGUGCAUUUUGCUUAAAACUUGGCAUUUACACACUCCAUUGGAAAAUAGCAGUCAAAAAUACUUCUGAUCAAAACUAAGUUCCCGUGAUGCGUAGUAACCAUCGUGUUGUUUCAAUGAGGUAGUAACUAAAUUUUGGCCAUGUGUUAACAUCCUAAAAUCAAGAAAAGUGAAAAUGGUUAUAA